Molecule: RNA transcript, 4144 nt
Organism: Gossypium arboreum
Lineage: Eukaryota; Viridiplantae; Streptophyta; Magnoliopsida; Malvales; Malvaceae
Gene name: autophagy-related protein 18f-like
Exons: 8
Source: RefSeq, a predicted model, not a curated record
UAAAUGGAGGGUAAAAGAGACGAUUAAUCAAUCAAUCAUUUAGAAAGAGGAAUUCCAGAAGCCAGAGAGAAACCCUUUCAACUAAAAUUAUAAUAAAAUUCAACUUCUUAUCUCUUUCUCUCUCUAAAAUCCUUCAUAUUGCUUCACUCUUUUUCCUUUGUUUCUUCGGAUUGUUUCCCAAGUUUCGAUCCAAAAACCCUAAAAUCUACUCCCUUUUAAUCUCAAUCGUUUUUUUAUUUUAAUUUAUUUUAAUUUCCCAAUAUUAUUCCUUCAAAAUUUUAAUUUCUUCCCGAACCCCAAAAAAAUUGUUUCUUUAUUUUCUGUGUAAUAUUUUUUGAUUUUUUCGUUUAAUUCCAAUCAAGAGCUUUAAGAAAAGUUUAGUUUACUAUUUUUUAAUAAUAAAAUAAAAUUUUGGGUUUUUCUUCUUUGUUCUGUUUGGAUUGGAAGUUUGUUUCUUUCUAGUUUUCCUGUAUUAUUAUUUUUUGUGAAAAAUAUUCUCUAUGUUUUAUUUCCAAUAGAGACACUUGUAACCCGAAAAUUUCUUCAGUUAAGAGGUUGUUUCUUUCUGGGUUUUCAUCAAUUCCUCUUAAUUUCUGCUUUGAAAAGAAAAACCCCAGAUAUUGGUUUAAAUUUUUUAAGGAACAACCUUUAGUGUUAUGUUAAAAGGAGAUAUUGGGGGAAUUAUCGGAGAGAAAUUUGAAUUUUCUGGAUUGUUUCAAUUUUGGGUUUCUUAAUUGGGUGUUUGGGAUUAUGAGGAACAGUGGAGAUGGACAAGGGCAAUCUAAAACGCAAGGUGGUGGUGUCGUUUCCAAGUCAGCUCGGAGUUCAUUACGUGCAAUUUCCAGUUACUUCAGGAUUGUUUCUUCCGGGGCUUCCACUGUGGCACGGUCGGCUGUUUCCGUAGCAUCAUCGAUUGUGGACAGGGAAGACGAUUCUGGGUAUGAUCAGGUUAAUUGGGCUGGCUUUGACAAGUUAGAAGAUGAGAAAGGUGUCAUUCGACAAGUUCUCCUGCUUGGUUAUUGGUCGGGUUUUCAGGUUUGGGAUGUUGAAGAUGCUGAUAAUGUCUGUGACUUGGUUUCAAGACGUGAUGGUCCCAUUUCAUUUAUGCAAAUGCUACCAAAACCAGUAGCAGCAAAGAGAUCAGGAGACAAGUUUGCAAACAGCCGUCCCCUUUUGGUGGUUUGUUCUGAUGGGUCCCUCUCUGUGGGUACUUGUAUUCAGGAUCAUUCUUGCAAUGGAAGCAUACCACACAACAAUUAUUCAGGGAAUGGUAGCAUUGUUUCUGCCAUUGUCCAGUUUUAUUCCUUGAGAUCUCAAUCUUAUGUACACAAGCUAAACUUUAGAUCAGUUGUUUAUUCUGUAAGGUGCAGUUCUCGAAUUGUUGCUAUAGCUCUAGCAACUCAGAUACAUUGUUUUGAUGCCACCACAUUAGAAAGGGAAUAUACCAUUCUUACAAAUCCUAUAAUUACAUCCUCCGCUGGUUCUGGAGGUGUAGGUUAUGGACCUUUGGCAGUUGGUCCUAGAUGGCUGGCUUACAGUGGUAGUCCAGUUGUAGGUUCUAAUUGUGGACGUGUCAGUCCACAACAUCUUAUGCCUUCUGCAAGUUUCCCUGGUUUUUCUUCAAAUGGGAGCCUGGUUGCACACUAUGCAAAAGAAUCAAGCAAGCAACUUGCUGCUGGGAUUGUGACCCUAGGAGACAUUGGAUAUAAGAAACUGUCAAGAUACUUGCCGGACUCAUACAAUUCUGUGCAAUCGGGAAGUCCUGGCUGGAAAGGAAAUGGAAAUGCUAAUGGUCAUUUUCUCGAUACUGAUAACAUUGGAAUGGUUAUUGUUAGAGAUAUUGUCAGUAAGGUUGUUAUUGCUCAGUUUAGGGCACACAAGAGCCCUAUUUCAGCAUUAUGCUUUGAUCCCAGCGGGACACUUCUUGUGACAGCUUCAGUUCAGGGUCAUAAUAUCAACGUGUUCAAGAUUUUGCCUGGACUUCAAGGAAGCACUUCUGCUUGUGAUGUACCAGCAUCACAUUCACAUCUCUACCGACUGCAGCGUGGUUUUACAAAUGCUGUAAUACAGGAUAUUAGUUUCAGUGAUGAUAGCAACUGGAUUAUGAUUAGUUCUUCAAGAGGGACAAGCCAUCUAUUUGCUAUCAAUUCAAUGGGUGGAUCUGUAAGUUUUCAGUCUGCUGAUGCUGGUUUUGCUCCUAGAAGUAGCAGUUUGGGUGUUAUGACUAAGCCACAAGUUCAUUGGCCACCUAAUAUAGGAGUGCAAACACCUACUCAAUCAAGUUUUUGUGCUUCUGGCCCUCCGGUGACACUUUCUGUUGUUAGCAGAAUAAGGAAUGGAAAUAAUGGUUGGAGAGGCACUGUAAGUGGUGCUGCAGCAGCUGCAACAGGCAGGAUGGGUUCUCUUUCAGGGGCCAUUGCUUCUUCUUUCCAUAACUGCAAAGGCAAUAAUCUUUUGUUUACCGAGAGCAACUAUUUGAAGACAAAAUAUCACCUUCUGGUUUUCUCUCCUUCUGGUUGUAUGAUACAGUAUGCUUUGCGACUGUCCCCUGACCAAGAUCCGACACCAGUUGUUUCUGGAUUAAAUGCAGCAUAUGAAUCAACUACAGAAUCUGAUGGAAGGUUAGUAGUCGAGGCAAUGCAGAAGUGGAAUAUUUGUCAGAAACAAACCCGAAGAGAGAGAGAAGAUAAUGCAGACAUAUAUGGCGAGAAUGGAACAUCAGACACUGGUAAAGUAUAUCCUGAAGAAAUCAAAGAGGGAACUACAUUCACUAAUCCAUCCACUGUUGACAAAGCAAAUACCAACCCUCAGGAAAAACAUAAUUUGUAUAUUUCGGAAGCUGAACUGCAGAUGCAUCAAGCUCAGACACCAUUGUGGGCAAAACCAGAGAUAUACUUUCAAUCAAUGGUGAUGGAUGACAUCAACAUGGCUGAUGAAAAUGCUUUUGUUGGGGAAGUUGAAAUUGAAAUGUUGCUAACUCGCAUGAUUGGAACACGGAAAAAAAGCUUAGUUCCAGUUUUUGAUUACCUUCAAAGCUUUAAAUUCCAGCAAGCAAGGGUUCCAACUGUAGAUAGCAAUAACAAUGGAUGGCUGCUGCAUCAGAGGUCAGGUUUGUCUGAAAAUGGCCGGCUUUCAUGUAGAAGUAUUUCUGGCUCUCUUAAUUGCAUGACCGAAAAUGGUGAUGCAGUUGAUGAACUUCAAAAUGGCAUAGAAGAAACUAGAUUGAAUGGUCGUCAGAUGCCUUUAGGAACUAAGGGCUUUGUAAAUAGAAGUGACAGCCCUAAAACCAACACUCGGCUUGAGAUUGUAAAUAAUAGUGAGAACUCAAGAAUGGAAGCUCAACUCAAGUUUGUAAAUAAUAACAGUGAAGACCUCAAUAUGGGGAAUCUUUUUGGAGAUGAAGGUGAUGAGUAUGAUUAGAGGUAAUCUUAUUAUUUCUAGUUAAAAUUAUUUUGUUUAAUGUUAACAUUACAUGUGUCCAAACUAAUCAUCUUUGCCUGCACAAGCUUGCAUAAAACUGAAAAGUGAUAGUUAAUAUAAAGUUCACAAGUUUCACCUGCACCUAGAUGUUCAUUAUUCCUUGUAAUGUAUGAUGAUAUGAUGCCAUCUUCCUCAGUUGGCGGAUUUUGUUGUCACUUGUCAUUGUAAUGUGUCAUUACUUUCCUCAUAGUUUUAUUUAAUGGCUUGAUAAAGCUCCGCACAUAGGACACGGUGGACGCUCUGCUGUGACAAAUAGUUUCCAUAUGAACUAACAAAGAUUUUUAGAUUAUGAACUUGUAUGCUUGAACAGGGUGUUGUACCCGUUGUUAUGUUAUUUGAGGCUAAGCCGUUUUUCGGGAUUCCAUCUGCUAAAUAUCAAUUACUUUACGUGUGGAAUUUUAUUCUUUUGAUUCUCCAGAGAGUCUGAUUAACAGUGUUUAAUACUUAUGGGGGUGGCAAUGUAAACAAGAGACAGACAAUGGAUGCUUCGGCUGUGAAGUGAAUUGUUUAGUACCAUGUUGUUGGGUUUUUCAUAUGUUAACUUUGUAAAUUAUAGACAAUGAAUUUCCCAAUAUUUAGUUGUGAUAUGUAAAUAAUAGAAUUACCUUAUUAACUCCAACUCUUCUAUUCUAUUAAUUUAAAAAGUUUAUUUGUUACCAUUCAA